GUGCUUGGGCGAGAGUAGUACUAGGAUGGGUGACCCCCUGGGAAGUCCUCAUGUUGCAGCCC
RNAcentral lists this ribosomal RNA (62 nucleotides) under Mentha x dalmatica. The record is from RNAcentral. Lineage: Eukaryota; Viridiplantae; Streptophyta; Magnoliopsida; Lamiales; Lamiaceae.